RNAcentral lists this unclassified non-coding RNA (1526 nucleotides) under Hevea brasiliensis (rubber tree). Lineage: Eukaryota; Viridiplantae; Streptophyta; Magnoliopsida; Malpighiales; Euphorbiaceae. The record is from RNAcentral.
AGGUGGACAUGGCUUCCAUUGUUGCAAGCUUGCCUCCUCCAGCACUGGUGGUCCCUGUUAGAAGCACCCUUUUGAGGACUCUUCUAAAACUUCCAGUUUCUCCCAUUAGAGGUGAGCUACAUAGAUUCUAAAGGAUAUAAUUUGGCUAUUUUUCCACCAAGUUCAUAAACUUUAUGAUUCAGUUCAACUGUACUUGUUUAUUGGAAUAAGUUAAUUGCUUUAGAGAUUGAUUAUUUAAAUGGGAUAUACUUUUUUGCUUUCUGUUCUUCUUGGUGGAUACUGGCAUUAAUACUGAUUUGAAUGGGGCGUCAUAUUCAAUUUGAGAGUUAAGAUUCCUUGAUCUUUGCAAACGGGGAAAAUAAUAAUCGGGUUUGGGCUUAUGAACACUACCCUAUGAAAUUUAGGCUGGAUUAAUUGAGCAUACUUUUUUUAGCUGUAAGUGCUUUUGAGGAAAGUCCACAAUGAUGAGCAGGUCAAAAAACAAAAAUCUGCUACUGCCUUUUGAAGUAAAAAUGACGAAUAACUUUUUAUUUCCAGAAAUUAAGUUAAUGGUAUUUAUCAAUGAGUUCUAGAUUUCAGCUUUAUGUGAAAUUAAGGAAAUUUCUAGAAACUUGGAAACCAUAAAUCUAUUAAUGUGGUGUUGAAGCUGCACAGUUGUUAUUGAUGAUUCUAGCAAUGGAAUAAGUUUUCAGAAGUGAAAUAGAGCAGCAAGGCACCUGGAUUAAAUUCCCUCUUUAUCCAUGCUUUUCCUCUUUUAUUAUUUUGUUUCGUCAACCCUUGAUAAUUAUGCAUUGUAGAGAGACAGAAUCGUGUGGCUCUUGUUGUGAAGGCUGCUGGAGAAAGCUCUGAGUCAUCAACCUCCCUCAGCAUUGUUAAGUCUGUGCAGAAUGUUUGGGAUAAAUCUGAAGACCGGCUGGCUCUUUUCGGUUUGGGGUUUGCAGCUAUAGUAGCUCUAUGGGCAUCAACAAAUCUUAUAUCAGUAAUUACUAUAACUUAUUCCUUUAUAUAUAAUAAUAUUAGCAAAAGUGAUUAGGUAGAGAGAUCUUGAACCAUUGAUUAAUCAUGUAAUUAGAUGAGUAUGAUGGAAAUUAGUAAGAACAAGAGUUUAAAUGAAGCAGUCAAUAGAAACAGCCACAUAAAAUGUUACAUCUACCCGUCUUUUAUUUUCUUUUAUUUAUUUUUUCUUGUCGUACAAUGAUCAAAUACUAGGUUAGCAUCAAUCUUUUUACAGCUUACAUAAAAGAACAACAGUUUCAGAUAUGUCCUCCAAAUUGAGUCUAGAAAGGUGAUAACAUCUCAUGAAGAACUGUUUUCCACAUUUAGAGGCGAAACUAGGAUAUAAGUUUAAACCAUAAGUGGAAUAGUUUUACUUAUUAUAGUUAUAUUUCUGGCAGAGAUCUUUAAAUAUAGAUUCCCAUCUCUUAAUCCCUGCUCAAUGCAUAUGCUUAUGCACACACAACUUAUCAUUCUACUGCUUUUUGCCAUAAUGAGAAAUCUGACUGCUUUUUGCCAUAAUGAGAAAUCUG